AAAAAAACAAAUAACAAUCAAAAUUGAAAAAUAUAAAAUUGCGAGAAACUGCAUUUAUAUGAUUUUCGGUAACAACCAGCCAACGGUGCAUCGAUCGAAUUUCAUCCAACAUUCAACGCAUGCAAUCAUCGUUUCUACCAUUCUUCACAUUUUCUCUAUACAAUUCGUGUUCUUCAAGUCACGUAACCCUAAACCUAAAUCCAAUUCCGAACGAAUAAUUACAUUGAUUGAUUAA
This is a non-coding RNA of Vicia faba (fava bean), 235 nucleotides long. Lineage: Eukaryota; Viridiplantae; Streptophyta; Magnoliopsida; Fabales; Fabaceae. The record is from the annotation of a GenBank genome assembly.